This 294-nucleotide ribosomal RNA is filed under the name uncultured bacterium. RNAcentral's name for it is "partial 16S ribosomal RNA". It matches the Rfam family "Bacterial small subunit ribosomal RNA", at positions 775 to 1067 of the family's 1533-position model. The record is from RNAcentral.
GGAUUAGAUACCCUGGUAGUCCACGCCGUAAACGGUGAGUGCUCGUCGUCGUGGGUAUUGACCCCUGCGGUGACCAAGUUAACGCAUGAAGCACUCCGCCUGGGAAGUACGGUCGCAAGACUAAAACUCAAAGAAAUUGACGGGGGCCCGCACAAGCGGUGGAGCAUGUUGUUUAAUUCGAAGCAACGCGCAGAACCUUACCUGGAUUUGACAUCUCGGGAAUCUCUCGGAAACGAGAGAGUGCCUUCGGGAACCCGAUGACAGGUGCUGCAUGGCUGUCGUCAGCUCGUGCCG